UACGUAGGGGGCUAGCGUUGUCCGGAAUCAUUGGGCGUAAAGAGCGUGUAGGCGGUCCGGUAAGUCCGCUGUGAAAGUCGGGGGCUCAACCCUCGAAUGCCGGUGGAUACUGUCGGGCUAGAGUGCGGAAGAGGCGAGUGGAAUUCCUGGUAUAGUGGUGAAAUGCGUAGAGAUCCGGAGGAACACCAGUGGCGAAGGCGACACGCUGGGCCGUACCUGACACUGAUGCGCGACAGCAUGGGGAGCAAACAGG
RNAcentral lists this ribosomal RNA (253 nucleotides) under uncultured bacterium. Its description in RNAcentral is "partial 16S ribosomal RNA". It matches the Rfam family "Bacterial small subunit ribosomal RNA", at positions 524 to 776 of the family's 1533-position model. The record is from RNAcentral.